Molecule: ribosomal RNA, 500 nt
Filed under: uncultured bacterium
Lineage: Bacteria
Description: partial 16S ribosomal RNA
Rfam family: Bacterial small subunit ribosomal RNA
Source: RNAcentral
AUUGAACGCUGGCGGAAUGCUUUACACAUGCAAGUCGAACGGCAGCACGGACUUCGGUCUGGUGGCGAGUGGCGAACGGGUGAGUAAUGUAUCGGAACGUGCCCAGUCGUGGGGGAUAACGUAGUGAAAAUUACGCUAAUACAGCAUACGAUCUAUGGAUGAAAGCGGGGGAUCGCAAGACUUCGCGCGAUUGGAGCGGCCGAUAACAGAUUAGGUAGUUGGUGGGGUAAAGGCCCACCAAGCCAACGAUCUGUAGCUGGUCUGAGAGGACGACCAGCCACACUGGAACUGAGACACGGUCCAGACUCUUACGGGAGGCAGCAGUGGGUAAUUUUGGACAAUGGGCGAAAGCCUGAUCCAGCCAUUCCGCGUGCAGGAUGAAGGCCCUCGGGUUGUAAACUGCUUUUGUACAGAACGAAAAGGUUUCUACUAAUACUAGGAGCUCAUGACGGUACUGUAAGAAUAAGCACCGGCUAACUACGUGCCAGCAGCCGCCGUAA